This 322-nucleotide long non-coding RNA is filed under the name Mytilus galloprovincialis (Mediterranean mussel). Lineage: Eukaryota; Metazoa; Mollusca; Bivalvia; Mytilida; Mytilidae. The record is from RNAcentral.
CUCAUAUCAAAAUAUUUAUAAAGCCAAACAAGUACGAAGUUGAAGAGCAUUGAGGAUCCAAAAUUUAAAAAAGUUGUGCCAAAUACGGCCAAGGUAAUCUAUGCCUGGGAUAAGAAAAUCCUUAGUUUUUCGAAAAAAUCAAAGUUUUGUAAAACAGAAAAUUUAUAAAAAUGACCACAUUAUUGAUAUUCAUGUCAACACCGAAAUGUUGACUACUGGGCUGGUGAAACCCUACGAGACGAAACGUCCACCAGCAGUGGCAUCGACCCAGUGGUGUAAAUAGUUAUCAAAGGUACCAGGAUUAUAAAUUUGUACGCCAGAC